CAGUGGAAGCCUGUGCACGAGUCACUUUGCGGCCCUUGCUAUCUGUGUCAGGCCAGCCUGGUGGGCACCAUAAAAGGAGAAGCAGGAGGAGAGGAUACACUGAAAGAUGUCCUUUUAAGAGAGGCAGAAAUCCAAAGGCUGCCUGAGGCCUUCGCCUGGCCUUCCAUCUCCAAGGCUCAUGAAAGAAAGAAAAAGCCACGCAGUUCAAGUGUAACUACAGACACAUCCAAAACCAAAGCCUUGUUUCUUUGUAAGACAAGCCAGUUUGGAUCAAAUAUUCCUAUUUCCAUGAAAACACAAGGCAAAGAGAUGGGAUGUAAACCAGGCAUCUUAAACUGUGAGUCCUAUGGGAAAUGUCAGAGAGAAGGAUCAGAAUGGAAGAACCUGGCAACAUUGGAAAUAACUCUAAUAUACACAAAAGUAUCUCCUUAGAGGUGAACUGGAUCUUUAAAUUCUUGUCAGUUAUCUGACACAGAUGUGGACAAACUUCGCCACCUGCUGUCGAGGUUUGGUAUUGCGAUUUGGCAAGCACCCUGAAGGUGGCGCCAGAUUCCGGCACAGGAUACGGGAAUGUUUUGUAGCAACAGAGCUCAACACUAAGAACUGCCACAUCCGUCAGGUGUCAACAGAUGCAAGCAAUCUCAGAUCUGGGGCCUCGGAUCUGCAUGCCUCCUAUGUCGCUAUGGGAUAGAAAAGCAUCUGGUUCUGAGCAGGAAGAGAUUCCAUGUGGGGGCUCAGCCUUGACUACCACUCUCCCCACCUCUUCUCAUUUGCACGGAUACUGAACGAACCUGCUACCACACGUAUCACAGCAGCCGUCACAGUUUGACUGCCCUUCCUGUCAUCUCAAGUCAACUGGCCUAAGCGCACGGGGAUGUACUAUAGGUGCACAGUCAGCAUGGUCUUCUAACCUUCCGCUCUGGAAAUGCCUCCACAGACACACUCAGGGAACAAGAAGAGGAGGUCCUCUCUCAACACCCGUAUUCAAGCUUGUGUUCCAAUCAGAAAAUGAACAUUUUGUGCUCAAAUUUAUAUGGAAAUGCAAGGAAUUCAAACUAGAUCGAGCAAUCCUUAAAAAGGAAGAAAGCUAGCGAUCAAACCCAGGUCCUGUGUACCCCCACCCCGGCCACCCUAAGGCGCUAAGAUACUGAAAGGGCGGAAAGAAGAGUCUUUUCAACGAAUGGUGGAUGCUGGAGAGCCACACACAAAGGAGGGAGACCCCAAGCCAUACCUAAAAGUUAGCCUCCAGCUGAGCAGAGACCCAUAUGUAAGGUCCAAGUCCAAAGCUCUGUCGGGGCACUGGAGUAAACGCUCACGAGCUUGCAUUCCUUGGCUACAGCUCCAAAGCCCCAGUGACAGAGGAAAAGAUGGAUUAACUGGACUUUCUCAACAUUGAGUCCUUGGUGCUUCAAACCUAGACACUAAAUUUAAAAGACAACCUAAAGGAUGGGGGACUAUGUAAAGACUAUCUGCAAUCCAAUGACAAUAUGUUAACCCAACUGAAAAUUAGACCACUAGUAAAUAGAGAUUUUUUAAUGUUA
Molecule: non-coding RNA, 1541 nt
Organism: Rattus norvegicus (Norway rat)
Lineage: Eukaryota; Metazoa; Chordata; Mammalia; Rodentia; Muridae
Source: RefSeq, a predicted model, not a curated record